GAUGAAGAACGUAGCGAAAUGCGAUACGUAAUGUGAAUUGCAGAAUUCAGUGAAUCAUCGAAUCUUUGAACGCACAUUGCGCCCCUUGGUAUUCCAUGGGGCAUGCCUGUUCGAGCGUCAUCUACACCCUCAAGCUCUGCUUGGUGUUGGGCGUCUGUCCCGCCCCCGCGCGUGGACUCGCCCCAAAUCCAUUGGCAGCGUUCCUUGCCCCCUCUCGCGCAGCACAUUGCGCUUCUCGAGGGCGGCUCCGGGACGCGAUCCAGCAAGAUGACCACCGUCUUUGACCUCGGAUCAGGUAGGGAUACCCGCUGAACUUAAGCAUAUCAAUAAGCGGAGGA
Molecule: unclassified non-coding RNA, 338 nt
Filed under: soil metagenome
Description: partial contains 5.8S ribosomal RNA, internal transcribed spacer 2, and large subunit ribosomal RNA
Rfam family: 5.8S ribosomal RNA (bases 1-120)
Source: RNAcentral